UCUCAAGUGUGUUUAUAUGUGAGCAACCAGUAUCUAGGGGACAGAAGCUGACGUACGAUGCAUCAAAGGGGCUCUGGCAAAGGCCUCACCUUUUGCCUGAUCACCAAUGGUCUUUGAUGGGGAGACCAGAAUUAGAUGAAUCUAUGGAGCCAGCUCUUGGAGACUUGCAAGAUGGUGUGAUGGAGUCCUGACCAACAGAAAGGCUUGGUACUGACAUCUCUGAAGGGAGAUAGACAUGGCACUCAACAGAUGCCCCAUAUGGGAUAGAAGAUGGAGAGGACUGUAUAUGCUUUGGUUAGAUGCCAGCCUUGGUCGUUUGAUGCUGAGACUAUAAUUGGAAACAUGUAGGGCGCCAGCACAAGGAGACUUGCAAGAUGGUGUGAUGAAGUCCAGACUGAUAGACAGGCUUCCUACUGUCGUCUCUGAAUAGAGAGAGACCUGGCACUCUGCAUUACAAUUUUACAAGACAACAUUUACUUGGUAUUUAAAAAAAUAUAUAUUAUUAUAGCAAGAACAGCUCAAAUAAGCAAAGAGAAAUGACAGUCAAUCCGGAAAAUGUCAAGAACUUUCUUCAAGUGCAGUCGGAAAAACCAUCAAGUGCUAUGAUGAAACUGGCUCUCAUGAGAACCACCACAGGAAAGGAAGACCCAGAGUUACCUCUGCUGCAGAGGAUAAGUUCAUUAGAGUUACCAGCCUCAAAAAUUUCAGCCCAAAUAAAUGUUUCACGAGUUCAAGUAACAGACACAUCUCAACAUCAACUGUUCAGAGGAGACUACGUGAAUCAGGCCUUCAUGGUCGAAUUGCUGCAACAACAAAAAAACUGUACUAAAGGGCACCAAUAAGAAGACUUACUUGGGCCAACGAACACAAGCAAUGGACAUUAGACCGGUGGAAAUCUGUCCUUUGGUCUGAUGAGUCCAAAUUUGAGAUCUUUGAUUCCAACCGCUGUGUCUUUGUGAGACACAGAGUAGGUGAAUGGAUGAUCUCUGCAUGUAUGGUUCCCACCGUGAAGCAUGGAGGAGGAGGUGUAAUAGUGUGGGGGUGCUUUUCUGGUGACACUGUCAGUGAUUUAUUUAGAAUUCAAGGCACACAACCAGCAUGGCUACCACAGUAUUCUGCAGAAAUACGCCAUCCCAUCUGGUGUGCGAUUAUCAUUUGUUUUUCAACAGGACAAUGACCCAACACACCUCCAGGCUGUGUAAGGGCUAUUUGAUCAAGAAGGGGAGUGAUGGAGUGCUGCAUCAGAUGAACUGGCCUCCACAAUCACUCGAGUUGGACCGCAGAGUGAAGAAAAAGCAGCCAACAAGUGCUCAGCAUAUGUGGGAACCCC
This 1330-nucleotide long non-coding RNA is filed under the name Salmo salar (Atlantic salmon). RNAcentral describes it as "lncRNA (ENSSSAG00000099799.1)". Lineage: Eukaryota; Metazoa; Chordata; Actinopteri; Salmoniformes; Salmonidae. The record is from RNAcentral.